RNAcentral lists this ribosomal RNA (468 nucleotides) under uncultured bacterium. RNAcentral's name for it is "partial 16S ribosomal RNA". It matches the Rfam family "Bacterial small subunit ribosomal RNA", at positions 28 to 507 of the family's 1533-position model. The record is from RNAcentral.
GACGAACGCUGGCGGCGUGCUUAACACAUGCAAGUCGAACGGAAAGGCCCUGCUUUUGUGGGGUGCUCGAGUGGCGAACGGGUGAGUAACACGUGAGUAACCUGCCCUUGACUUUGGGAUAACUUCAGGAAACUGGGGCUAAUACCGGAUAGGAGCUCCUGCUGCAUGGUGGGGGUUGGAAAGUUUCGGCGGUUGGGGAUGGACUGGCGGCUUAUCAGCUUGUUGGUGGGGUAGUGGCUUACCAAGGCUUUGACGGGUAGCCGGCCUGAGAGGGUUACCGGCCACAUUGGGACUGAGAUACGGCCCAGACUCCUACGGUAGGCAGCAGUGGGGAAUAUUGCACAAUGGGCGGAAGCCUGAUGCAGCAACGCCGCGUGCGGGAUGACGGCCUUCGGGUUGUAAACCGCUUUCGCCUGUGACGAAGCGUGAGUGACGGUAAUGGGUAAAGAAGCACCGGCUAACUACGUG